RNAcentral lists this ribosomal RNA (318 nucleotides) under uncultured Bacteroidota bacterium. RNAcentral's name for it is "bacterial SSU rRNA". It matches the Rfam family "Bacterial small subunit ribosomal RNA", at positions 116 to 433 of the family's 1533-position model. The record is from RNAcentral. Lineage: Bacteria; Pseudomonadati; Bacteroidota.
UGUAACUAACCUACCUAUNACUGGGGGAUAGCCCGCCGAAAGGCGGAUUAAUACCGCAUAAGCUGUUUGAGUGGCAUCACUCGCUUAGUAAAGAUUUAUUGGUUAUAGAUGGGGUUGCGGGUCAUUAGCUAGUUGGUAAGGUAACGGCUUACCAAGGCGACGAUGACUAGGGGAGCUGAGAGGCUGGUCCCCCACACGGGCACUGAGAUACGGGCCCGACUCCUACGGGAGGCAGCAGUAGGGAAUAUUGGGCAAUGGGCGAGAGCCUGACCCAGCCAUGCCGCGUGCAGGAAGAAGGCUUUCUGAGUCGUAAACUGC